ACACCCUACAAUAAAACUGUAUUGGAAAUGUGUUGAAUUACAUUAUAAUAACACCCUAUAAUAAAACUGUAUUGGAAAGGGUGUUGAAUAACACCCUAUAAUAAAACUGUAUUGGAAAGGGUGUUGAAUAACACCCUAUAAUAAAACUGUAUUGGAAAUGUGUUGAAUAACACCCUAUAGUAAAACUGUAUUGGAAAGGUGUUGAAUAACACCCUAUAAUAAAACUGUAUUGGAAAGGUGUUGAAUUACACCCUAUAAUAAAACUGUAUUGGAAAGGGUGUUGAAUCACAUUAUAAUAACACCCUAUAAUAAAACUGUAUUGGAAAUGUGUUGAAUAACACCCUAUAAUAACACUGUAUUGGAAAGGUGUUGAAUAACACCCUAUAAUAAAACUGUAUUGGAAAGGUGUUGAAUUACACCCUAUAAUAAAACUGUAUUGGAAAUGUGUUGAAUAACAGCUGAUAAUAAAACUGUAUUGGAAAGGGUGUUGAAUCACAUUAUAAUAACACCCUAUAAUAAAACUGUAUUGGAAAUGUGUUAAAUAACACCCUAUAAUAAAACGGUAUUGGAAAUGUGUUGAAUUACAUUAUAAUAACACCCUAUAAUAAAACUGUAUUGGAAAGGGUGUUGAAUUACAUUAUAAUAACACCCUAUAAUAAAACUGUAUUGGAAAGGGUGUUGAAUAACACCCUAUAAUAAAACUGUAUUGGAAAGGGUGUUGAAUAACACCCUAUAAUAAAACUGUAUUGGAAAUGUCUUUAAU
Molecule: long non-coding RNA, 763 nt
Filed under: Salmo salar (Atlantic salmon)
Lineage: Eukaryota; Metazoa; Chordata; Actinopteri; Salmoniformes; Salmonidae
Description: lncRNA (ENSSSAG00000115223.1)
Source: RNAcentral